UCCCUCUCUUUUCUGUUCUUUUCUACUUCCGUUCUCCUUGAUGAAAGCAGUUCUUUUCCAUAAAAAAAGUACUUGCAUGAUUGACUGCAAGGUCGGUGGUUCUGUGCUUUCUGAGAUAAUUGUGAAGAAUGACUUCUAUCAUGUAGCUUCUAUAAUUUCUUCCAUCAUUCAAUAGCCAUAUUUUCUUUUUAUAUCGCUAAAUCAUGUAACUUAUAAUGGAGUUUAUAUGAAUAAAUCUGGGGACCAGAAUGCAUAAUAUUGUCUUUAUCCUUCAGAAUAUGUCAUAUGGGCACUCUUUUGUAGGUUAAACGUCUGACUGAAAGUAUCCCAAUUAUAUUGGAUGCAUUGCAAUCAUCUUCACUUGUGGAAGUAAAGGGAGAGACGGUAAGGCGGCGUAAUGAUUAUGACAGAUGGAUUAUUCGACCUGGUGAAAUUCCUGAUGUUGCAGGCCCAUUAAGCCCAGGAAGUUCCAAUCAGGAUAUGUUGGCAGCUGGUGUUCAAACUAUUGCGCUAGAGAAUAUUAAUCAUAGGGUAUCUGAAGGUGGACAGGGUGCUGUUCAUGUUGAGGCACACCAAAGUAGUAGGCCAUCUGGAAA
Cucurbita pepo subsp. pepo (vegetable marrow) is the source of this 596-nucleotide non-coding RNA. The record is from RefSeq and is a predicted model, not a curated record. Lineage: Eukaryota; Viridiplantae; Streptophyta; Magnoliopsida; Cucurbitales; Cucurbitaceae.